ACGAUUAAAGCCCCUUCGGGGGUGUAUAAAGUGGCGAAAGGGCGAGGACAACGUUCCUACGUACCCCGAGGUCGAGGAUAGCCCAGGGAAACUUGGAGUAAUACUCGAUAUGGUCUUCGGAUCAAAGAUUUAUCGCCUUGGGAGCGGGGAACGCCCUAUCAGGUUGUUGGUGAGGUAACGGCUCACCAAGCCUUAGACGGGUAGCGGGUGUGAGAGCAUGACCCGCCGCAUCGGGACUGAGACACUGCCCGGACUCCUACGGGAGGCUGCAGUAACGAAUAUUCCGCAAUGCGCGAAAGCGUGACGGAGCAAUGCCGCGUGCAGGAUGAAGCCCUUCGGGGUGUAAACUGCUGUCAGGGUUUAGGAAGUUCUGACCAAACCCAAAGGAAGGGCCGGCUAACUUCGUGCCAGCAGCCGCGGUAAUACGAAGGGCCCGAGCGUUACUCGGAAUCAUUGGGCUUAAAGCGUACGCAGGCGGAUGCGCAGGCGUCGUGUGAAAUCCCUCCGCUCAACGGAGGAACUGCACGGCGAACCGCGUGUCUUGAGACAAGUAGGGGCGAUCGGAACGCUAGGUGGAGUGGUGAAAUGCGUUGAUAUCUAGCGGAACGCCGAAGGAGAAAUCAGAUCGCUGGGCUUGUUCUGACGCUGAGGUACGAAAGCGUGGGGAGCGAACGGGAUUAGAUACCCCGGUA
RNAcentral lists this ribosomal RNA (692 nucleotides) under uncultured bacterium. RNAcentral describes it as "bacterial SSU rRNA". It matches the Rfam family "Bacterial small subunit ribosomal RNA", at positions 66 to 792 of the family's 1533-position model. The record is from RNAcentral.